GGAGGAAAGCAGGGGAUCGCAAGACCUUGCACUUUUGGAGCGGCCGAUGUCUGAUUAGCUAGUUGGUGGGGUAAUGGCCUACCAAAGCUUCGAUCAGUAGCUGGUCUGAGAGGACGGCCAGCCACACUGGGACUGAGACACGGCCCAGACUCCUACGGGAGGCAGCAGUGGGGAAUUUUGGACAAUGGGGGCAACCCUGAUCCAGCCAUGCCGCGUGAGUGAAGAAGGCCUUCGGGUUGUAAAGCUCUUUCAGACGGGAAGAAACGGUCACGGUUAAUAGCUGUGGCUAAUGACGGUACCGUCAGAAGAAGCACCGGCUAACUACGUGCCAGCAGCCGCGGUAAUACGUAGGGUGCGAGCGUUAAUCGGAAUUACUGGGCGUAAAGGGUGCGCAGGCGGUUUUGUAAGUCAGAUGUGAAAUCCCCGGGCUUAACCUGGGAACUGCGUUUGAAACUACAAGGCUAG
RNAcentral lists this ribosomal RNA (465 nucleotides) under uncultured bacterium. RNAcentral describes it as "bacterial SSU rRNA". It matches the Rfam family "Bacterial small subunit ribosomal RNA", at positions 198 to 644 of the family's 1533-position model. The record is from RNAcentral.